Long non-coding RNA from Salvelinus namaycush (lake trout), 792 nucleotides. RefSeq lists it as uncharacterized. Lineage: Eukaryota; Metazoa; Chordata; Actinopteri; Salmoniformes; Salmonidae. The record is from RefSeq and is a predicted model, not a curated record. The transcript has 2 exons.
CAAGCGAGCGAGAAAGAUAGAGAGGGGCGAGAGAGGGAGAAAGAAAGAAAGAACAAACAGAGCAAUGAGUUUGAGCAAAUAAUGGCAGUACAAGUUUCCCAUGGAGGGACAUUCUAACUGCAGGCCUAGACUUUGCACUGGGAGAGUUGUGCAUGUAGAAUAGAUGGAUUCUUACUUCACCAUUCAAGACAGAACAUUUCUACGUGAAUCCAAGACACGGUCUUAACUUUCAGAAGUCACGCUUGGAAAAUCUCUGGACAGCUGACAUGGCAAAAACUAUUUCCAUCAUGAGUGAUCGAAAGAGUGGCAUUCUCAAAAGCUUCUGCUUCUGUCUCCUCUUGGGCAGUGCCACUGGGCCUCCUGCGCCUCUCCUGGAUCAUCUGAACAUGGCUCCUGAUCCGCUGCUCUAACUCCCGGUCGCGGGCUGCCCUGGGGUCACACAGGUCAAGGGUAAAAUGAACCACCAUUCCACAAACUAAAGAUUCACUUAGUUACACACCGCUGUGGGUGCUGCAUGUUGUUGGUGGUGGAGUAGUAGCUGGCUAGCUACAGACUACAGAGACCAGUUGCUCGGAGUCCGGACCUGUCUGACCCUGUCCCUAAUCAAGACUCCUGAUGCUUUCACCUGGCUGUGACUGACCAAUGCUCCCUCCCUCCACAUAUACAUUUAUCACACGAUUUCACUCGAUUGAUUGAUUUAAUUAUUUGUUUAUUUAUUUCGAUGGACUGUACGCUGCAAUACAGCUCCUAGCUGCCAAUGUUGUACACCUUGACAAUAAACUAAACCUUAUA